This is an RNA transcript of Perognathus longimembris pacificus (Pacific pocket mouse), 1384 nucleotides long. It is a transcript of the gene named sirtuin 4, with no coding region annotated. NCBI's taxonomy places the organism in Eukaryota, Metazoa, Chordata, Mammalia, Rodentia, Heteromyidae. The record is from RefSeq and is a predicted model, not a curated record. The transcript has 5 exons.
UGGCGUGAGGCGUGCCUUAAAUUGUGGAAGAAUGGAGAUGACCUGCGGGUUGACUUACAGGUCAACAAAAGGCCGCUGGAUCACAAAACUCAGCCGACCUUGUUCGCAUGGACCCAUGGGAUUAUUUGUACCACCAAGUCCUCCUUUGGACCCUAGGAAGGUCAAAGAGUUACAACGCUUCAUCACUCUGUCCAAGAAACUUCUAGUGAUGACCGGGGCAGGAAUCUCCACUGAGUCAGGAAUCCCAGACUACAGGUCAGAAAAGGUGGGACUGUAUGCUCGGACUGACCGGCGACCGAUCCAGCAUGUAGAUUUUGUACGAAGUGCUCCCAUCCGCCAGCGGUACUGGGCAAGAAACUUUGUGGGCUGGCCUCAGUUCUCAGCCCACCAGCCGAACCCUGCACACUGGGCUUUGAGCAACUGGGAGAAACAGGGAAAGCUGCACUGGUUGGUGACUCAAAAUGUGGACGCUUUGCACACCAAAGCCGGGAAUCAGCGCUUGACGGAACUGCAUGGGUGCAUGCACAGGGUCCUCUGCCUGAAUUGUGGUGAGCAGACUCCUCGGGAGGUGCUGCAGGAGCGCUUCCAAGACCUGAACCCUAGCUGGAGCGCUGAGGCCCAAGGCGUGGCUCCUGAUGGAGAUGUGUUUCUCACGGAGGAGCAGGUCCAGACUUUUCAGGUCCCACCCUGCGUGCGGUGUGGAGGCCCUCUGAAACCAGAUGUUGUUUUCUUCGGUGACACGGUGAACCCUGAUAAGGUUGAUUUUGUGCACAGGCGUGUGAGGGAAGCCGAUUCCUUGCUGGUGGUAGGAUCUUCUCUACAGGUGUACUCUGGUUACAGGUUUAUUCUCACUGCCCAGGAGAAGAAGCUACCAAUAGCCAUAUUGAAUAUUGGGCCCACACGAUCGGAUGAUUUGGCAUGUCUGAAACUGAAUUCUCGCUGUGGAGAGUUGUUGCCUUUAAUAGUUCCACACUGACUACAGCCUGAUCUUCCGGAGCCUACAACUGGAACUUUCCCUUGAAUCCAGCUGCUGAAGAUAAAGGUCUUCUCAGAUAGCUAACGUAUUGAUUUCCACCAGAUUGGGAGUAAUCACUCAGGAUUCAGCCCCCUUCCCUCAACUAAACCAAGCUCACUGCAAGCUGUAGAGGGAAGCAAGCUACCAUCUCUCCACCAGCCUAUCUUUGAACAGAUGAGAUUCAACCCCUGAAGAGAGUCUUUCAAAGAAGCUACUGUUCUUGAUGGGAAAACUGCAUUCAUUACCUUCUUAUGUCACCUGGCAGAAGAAACAGCCUGGGAAAUGUGUGGAUUGGCAUGGUUUUUGCAGUGCUAAGAGAUUUCCCUAAUUUGGGAAGUAGAGCUAGAAGGAAAUAACUUGACUUAUAAU